RNAcentral lists this unclassified non-coding RNA (1962 nucleotides) under Stegodyphus dumicola. RNAcentral describes it as "nipped-B-like protein B, transcript variant X5". The record is from RNAcentral. Lineage: Eukaryota; Metazoa; Arthropoda; Arachnida; Araneae; Eresidae.
GUUAUGUUCAUGUUAUCAUCUAAUGGCGGAGAAUGAUUUGUUGUACUGGUGAAGUCAGCCUUUACUAUAAUAAUAGAAACGUAAGAUGUUUAAAAGUGUUAUUUUGGUGUGAUCUAAACAGCAGAAAUUCGGCUGAAUACGGAAUAAAACUUUGAGAGUGUUGUAUUAUAUUGCAGUUGUUUUGGGUAGUUCCGCAAAACUGGGUUGCAAAUUUUUCGAAGUGACGCUAGUGAUGGCUGUGUUUCACUGACCCCGCGUUUCAGCCUCCUAUUACCAGGAUGUCCAUACAACGCUAUUGUAAGCAUUAUGAUCGUGGAACAGCAUAAUGAAACUAAAGAGCGAGUGAUUUUGUUUAGAAAGGUGCAAGCAAAGAAAAACAUUGAAAGUAAAUCGUGUCAGUCAACAUUUUAUUUGGCAUAUUUGGAUAUUAAAUGCUAGAGUGGAGAAGUUUUUGAAAGUUUAAAGAGAAUUGUUCUCAAGCGUGUUUGGCUGUAUAUUGGGAGGAGUGUACUUUCAAGUAAACCAUCCCAUUUAUUUAUAUAUUUAUCUCUUGGUCUUCUAAAUUUUGCCUUCAUAGUGCAGUAUGAAUAAAUUAUUUUCCUUCUUCCCAGUAUCUCUGCUAAAAUGUAAAAAUUGAAGGAGAUAAACUGAUGGUGCAAGUUCUAGAAUAUGACAGAUGUACUCUCUUCCAGUUGACACACAGCAGUUCAGUGUGCAGCCUUCAUUGUCAUGUCUCGCUAUUGAGAAACCUGCACAAGAGGGAUCUUCGUGGCAUUUUUAUCUCCAAAUGAUUAAAUUACUAAUAUUGAAAGCAACACAUCGACUUUGAAUUUAGCCCAGCAGAAUUCAUAAUUUGCAGAGAUUGCAUGUGGUACCAAAAUGAGUAGUGCUGAUCCUGCCUUCUUCCACAGCCAUCUGAGAGUCAAAAUUACAGUUCUCAUCCGCAUCAAAACAACAUAUUAUUAGAUCAAUCAGUGUAUUAUUAUUGGCUAUGAUGUGAUUCACCAGCCAGCAAGUGUUUGAAAGUGACAUGAGGGAAUCUUGGUUGGUUGUGAGAAUUUAUAGCAUGCAUGCUUCUUUUGUUGAGUACUGUAUUCUCCAUCCAUAUAUUUUGUAAGCGGGAAUUUUUAUUUAUUUAUUUAUGAAUUAAUAAUUUUUUGGCUGGUGGUGUGGAUAUUGAGCAUCUAGAUAUCAGACUUCAUACUGUAUAUGUAUAUAUAAUGACAAUGUCUGAUGUAAAGGUGUUAACCAUAUCUACGGAAACCAUUUCCAUUUUCGCUUUAAAAUUUGAUAAGAUAUUGUAUAUUUUAAUUUUUGUUUAUGCUUUUGUAACAUAUUUGUUUGGAAAACAAGUUUUAUGGAUCUCUAUAUAAUAAGUAUUUCCACCCAGUUUCAGCAAUUAUUUGUCAGUACAUUUGUAUUUUUAUUUUCACACUCAACUCUUAUGCCCAUAAUGGCAUUGUUAGAAAUUUAGAAACGAGAGCAGUGUUAAAAAAAAUGAUAUAAGCUUAGUUUGUAGGUCCAGAUAUUCAAAUACAAUUUAUGAUGAUAAUUUUUCAUCAGCAAUUUAAUUAUUAUGAAUUGAAAUAUAGUAACAGUAGGAAAGAUUUGAAUAAAUAAAUAAAGAGUAGUAAAUCUGAAUUUGAUUUGAAUCUGGUUUUUACUUUAUUUUGCUAUUUAUGGCGGAGCAGAAAAUUCAUGAGAUUUUCUUGCAUAUGAUUAUUUUAGCAAAGUAUGUUAGACUGUUGGCCAUAGAAAACACACUAAAAAAAUUUUUUUUAAGAUUCAUUACACAUGGACGAAAAUUUCCAAAAUAUCAUGAUCCAAUUAAUUUUACAUCAUAAGUGCGAAGUGUAAAUGAAACCAACUGUUCAGGAUAAUCUUAUCUAAAUUUGUAUGUUAAUUAGCUAAUUAUAUUUUGUAAUUUGAUAUUUAUAAUGUGAUGAAAUUUUAAAUAAAACA